Haliotis rufescens (red abalone) is the source of this 507-nucleotide long non-coding RNA. RefSeq lists it as uncharacterized. Lineage: Eukaryota; Metazoa; Mollusca; Gastropoda; Lepetellida; Haliotidae. The record is from RefSeq and is a predicted model, not a curated record. The transcript is spliced from 4 exons.
UGAGGUCAAAGGUUGUCGCUGCAUAUGACGGUGAUGAUCUAAGCUGUUACUGAUGCCUGUAUAUAACUACUUUGUGUAGUGAUCUAAUUCAUUAGUAGUUUCUAAAGCUAUAUUGACUCACUUAUUCCAAAACCGGCCCUUUCUGAAGAGACGUAUUCUAAACGUGAUGAAACUGCUGUUGCUGUUGCUGCUUGUCCUCGUGUGUUUAGAAAUGCAACAGACUGACGGCCUUAGGCCUAAGGGACGUUGGUUGUUUCGGUCUAAGAGAUGGAGGAGGAACGCGAGAUGGUUAACCAGUACAACAAAGUUACACGGAAGAGAUCUUGAGGGCGAAGACAUUUACAAGGAACGGAAUACUGACCAAUCACAGGACGAGGUGUCAUUCAAUGCGAGAGAUGCACAAAUGUUGAUGACAUAAGCUGAUGCCGGUACUGCGGUGAACGCGUGAGAACUACGACUAAUCUGUGUACAGAUCAGAUCAUGACAUCAUAAAAUGUCUUCAUCGUU